CUGCAUUCCAGGCCCCCAAAGGUAGAAGCCAACAUCCAGUUUUCAACAAAGGAACAAUUGGCCUGUUCAGUGCUCACCUGUGAGUGACCCAAGGAAUCUGAAAGAGAAAAAACUUCAAUGCAGUCUCUACCAGACAAAGUGAACAGAGUAAAACCUCUGUUGCCUCCGUGGGCAGCCACUAGAGACUCCCAGCUUCUCCAAAAAAUUGGAUUCUUGACUGCAAUUUUUAGCCAAUAUUAUAUUUGCAAUGGUCUCGGGACAUAUUGCUUCUAAAUGUCAAGUGUCU
Mustela erminea (ermine) is the source of this 286-nucleotide long non-coding RNA. RefSeq lists it as uncharacterized. Lineage: Eukaryota; Metazoa; Chordata; Mammalia; Carnivora; Mustelidae. The record is from RefSeq and is a predicted model, not a curated record. The transcript is spliced from 3 exons.